This 37-nucleotide small RNA is filed under the name Curtobacterium sp. ER1/6. Lineage: Bacteria; Bacillati; Actinomycetota; Actinomycetes; Micrococcales; Microbacteriaceae. The record is from RNAcentral.
GAGGUGACCGUGCUCGACGGGGACGCCUCGAUCCUGC